GGGAGUUCUUCUCAAGCUUUCAUAACUCUUUCAAGUUAGUCUCAAAUUUCAUGCUUUUGUGCACCUUUUCACAAGCUUUUUGUGCUCUUUUACUCUUUCACCUUAAAAACCCUCCAAAGUCUUAAACUAAUACUUUCUCUCACUAGCUAGGUGUUUUAGAGAGAGAAAAAAGGACUCUCUAUAAUAGUUUGGGAAUUUUUGAGGAGGAAUCCAAUUACAAAUCUAGCAAGGGGAUGCUCAUGUCGGUAAUGAUAGGGUGUGGGGGUGUGGAGGAUGACAUAGUUGUGCGCCAUGUGGGGGUGCACACGAUGACUCCAACUAUGUGCGUGAUGUGGGGGUUGCACAUGAGCUGGGUGAGGCAGUGGUGAUAUGCAUGCUGAAGAAGCAAUCGGAACCUAGGUCGAGGUGUUCAUGUAGAUUCGUCUCUUAAGUAGGUAUCUCGGCAUUCAAUAGCUGAACCUCUACCACGGUCACUCUGCUGGAAGUUAAGAGUCAUUUUGUUUGUGAAUAUGUUCAUUUGAUGUAAAGUAUUAAGAUAUGUGUCUCAAACAAGGAAUGUAUAUUGUGAUUGGUAAUGCCACCACGAGUUGGCAAUGGUUAACAUUAUUUUGGGUUAAUGUGAAAUGCAGUUUUUGAUUGCUAUAGCACAUUAAUUAGGUACUUAUAGGUUGGAAGUAUGAAAGGUGACUUUAAGAAUAGUUGAUGGAAUGAUGAGAAGGAUUACAUAAAUAGGCUUGCUUGGGCUUGGUGGGCUAUGCCCAUUGGGU
This is a non-coding RNA of Theobroma cacao (cacao), 767 nucleotides long. NCBI's taxonomy places the organism in Eukaryota, Viridiplantae, Streptophyta, Magnoliopsida, Malvales, Malvaceae. The record is from RefSeq and is a predicted model, not a curated record.